Molecule: ribosomal RNA, 484 nt
Filed under: uncultured bacterium
Lineage: Bacteria
Description: partial 16S ribosomal RNA
Rfam family: Bacterial small subunit ribosomal RNA
Source: RNAcentral
AUCGAACGCUGGCGGCAGGCCUAACACAUGCAAGUCGAGCGGAUGAAGGGAGCUUGCUCCUGGAUUCAGCGGCGGACGGGUGAGUAAUGCCUAGGAAUCUGCCUGGUAGUGGGGGAUAACGUCCGGAAACGGGCGCUAAUACCGCAUACGUCCUGAGGGAGAAAGUGGGGGAUCUUCGGACCUCACGCUAUCAGAUGAGCCUAGGUCGGAUUAGCUAGUUGGUGGGGUAAAGGCCUACCAAGGCGACGAUCCGUAACUGGUCUGAGAGGAUGAUCAGUCACACUGGAACUUAGACACGGUCCAGACUCCUACGGGAGGCAGCAGUGGGGAAUAUUGGGCAAUGGGCGAAAGCCUGGUCCAGCCGUGCCGCGUGUGUGAAGAAGGUCUUCGGAUUGGAAAGCACUUUAAGUUGGGAGGAAGGGCAUUAAGUUAAUACCUUGCUGUUUUGACGUUACCAACAGAAUAAGCACCGGCUAACUUCGUG